Molecule: ribosomal RNA, 475 nt
Filed under: uncultured bacterium
Lineage: Bacteria
Description: bacterial SSU rRNA
Rfam family: Bacterial small subunit ribosomal RNA
Source: RNAcentral
CUCUGUGACUCCUACGGGAGGCAGCAGUGGGGAAUAUUGCACAAUGGGGGAAACCCUGAUGCAGCCAUGCCGCGUUGUGUGAAGAAGGUCCUUCGGGUUGUAAAGCACUUUCAGUAGGGAGGAAGGUAGUGUAGUUAACACCUGCACUAUUUGACGUUACCUACAGAAGAAGCACCGGCUAACUCCGUGCCAGCAGCCGCGGUAAUACGGAGGGUGCGAGCGUUAAUCGGAAUUACUGGGCGUAAAGCGCAUGCAGGCGGCCUGUUAAGUCAGAUGUGAAAAGCCCGGGGCUUAACCUCGGAAUUGCAUUUGAAACUGGCAGGCUAGAGUCUUGUAGAGGGGGUAGAAUUUCAGGUGUAGCGGUGAAAUGCGUAGAGAUCUGAAGGAAUACCAGUGGCGAAGGCGGCCCCCUGGACAAAGACUGACGCUCAGAUGCGAAAGCGUGGGGAGCAAACAGGAUUAGAUACCCUGGUAG